GAUGAAGAACGUAGCGAAAUGCGAUACGUAAUGUGAAUUGCAAAUACAGUGAAUCAUCGAGUCUUUGAACGCACAUUGCGCCCCCUGGUAUUCCGGGGGGCAUGCCUGUCCGAGCGUCAUUGCUGCCCUCAAGCACGGCUUGUGUGUUGGGCCCCGUCCUCCGAUCCCGGGGGACGGGCCCGAAAGGCAGCGGCGGCACCGCGUCCGGUCCUCGAGCGUAUGGGGCUUUGUCACCCGCUCUGUAGGCCCGGCCGGCGCUUGCCGAUCAACCCAAAUUUUUAUCCAGGUUGACCUCGGAUCAGGUAGGGAUACCCGCUGAACUUAAGCAUAUCAAUAAGCGGAGGA
RNAcentral lists this unclassified non-coding RNA (345 nucleotides) under soil metagenome. RNAcentral's name for it is "partial contains 5.8S ribosomal RNA, internal transcribed spacer 2, and large subunit ribosomal RNA". The stretch from base 1 to 119 matches the Rfam family "5.8S ribosomal RNA", at positions 35 to 154 of the family's 154-position model. The record is from RNAcentral.